GCUGGGCAUGGUGGCACAUGCCUGUAGUCCCAGCUACUUGGGAGGCUGAGGUGGGAGGAUCACUUGAGCCCAGGAGGUCGAGGUUGCAGUGAGCUGUGAUAGUGCCACUGCACUCCAGCCUGGGCAACAGUGAGACCCUCUCUCAA
RNAcentral lists this non-coding RNA (146 nucleotides) under Pan troglodytes (chimpanzee). Lineage: Eukaryota; Metazoa; Chordata; Mammalia; Primates; Hominidae. The record is from Rfam by way of RNAcentral.